AUUAUAUAUACCUUAAUGUAAGUAAAUCAUAUGAUAUAUAGGUGGCAUUCUUUGGGCCACUCUACCCCCUCCUGUUUGAUAACUUGGAAACGGUCGAGCUCCCCACCCCUAAACCAUAUGAGGGGCAGAUCCAGGAUUUUAGGUUAGGAGGGGCGCAAACUUAAAUUUUCGCCGAGCAGAGCGAGGCUAAAAAAAAUUGAGGUAAAAUUAUCGGAAUAUUCUUUAUUAAGCUGAGAACAACCCAUGCUUUGCAAAUUUAAGGGGGGUGCAAGCCCGCAACCCUCCCCCGUCUGAAUCCGCCCCUGCAUAUAUUCAAGUUUAGGACAAUAUAAUAAAUAAAAAAUGAAAUAUAGGGGAGUCCAUGGAGUUACCCCACCCCCUCCUGUUUGAGAACUUGGAAACGGUCGAGAUCCACACCCCUUAACCAUAUAUAUUCAUGUUUGUGACAAUAUGAAAAAUUCAAAUGAAAUAUAGGAAGAGUCGCUGGGGGUCACCCCACCCUUCCUGUUUUAGAAUUUAAAAAUGGUCGAGUUCCCCACCCCUAAACCAUAUAUAUUCAUGUAUGGGACAAUAUAACAAAUCAGAUGAAAUAUAGGGGGAGUCCCUUGGGUCACCCACCCCCUCCUGUUUGAGAAUUUGAAACCCAUUGAGAUCGCCACCCCUUAACCAUAUAUAUUCAUGUACGGGACAAUAUAACAAUUCAAAUGAAAGAUAGGGGGA
This 720-nucleotide long non-coding RNA is filed under the name Mytilus galloprovincialis (Mediterranean mussel). The record is from RNAcentral. Lineage: Eukaryota; Metazoa; Mollusca; Bivalvia; Mytilida; Mytilidae.